This 639-nucleotide ribosomal RNA is filed under the name Escherichia coli. Its description in RNAcentral is "partial 23S ribosomal RNA". It matches the Rfam family "Bacterial large subunit ribosomal RNA", at positions 2269 to 2902 of the family's 2925-position model. Lineage: Bacteria; Pseudomonadati; Pseudomonadota; Gammaproteobacteria; Enterobacterales; Enterobacteriaceae. The record is from RNAcentral.
UUUGACUGGGGCGGUCUCCUCCUAAAGAGUAACGGAGGAGCACGAAGGUUGGCUAAUCCUGGUCGGACAUCAGGAGGUUAGUGCAAUGGCAUAAGCCAGCUUGACUGCGAGCGUGACGGCGCGAGCAGGUGCGAAAGCAGGUCAUAGUGAUCCGGUGGUUCUGAAUGGAAGGGCCAUCGCUCAACGGAUAAAAGGUACUCCGGGGAUAACAGGCUGAUACCGCCCAAGAGUUCAUAUCGACGGCGGUGUUUGGCACCUCGAUGUCGGCUCAUCACAUCCUGGGGCUGAAGUAGGUCCCAAGGGUAUGGCUGUUCGCCAUUUAAAGUGGUACGCGAGCUGGGUUUAGAACGUCGUGAGACAGUUCGGUCCCUAUCUGCCGUGGGCGCUGGAGAACUGAGGGGGGCUGCUCCUAGUACGAGAGGACCGGAGUGGACGCAUCACUGGUGUUCGGGUUGUCAUGCCAAUGGCACUGCCCGGUAGCUAAAUGCGGAAGAGAUAAGUGCUGAAAGCAUCUAAGCACGAAACUUGCCCCGAGAUGAGUUCUCCCUGACUCCUUGAGAGUCCUGAAGGAACGUUGAAGACGACGACGUUGAUAGGCCGGGUGUGUAAGCGCAGCGAUGCGUUGAGCUAACCGGUACU